UUCACUGUAGCGCAAUGGACAGCACGUUGGAUUUCUCAUCCAAAAGUCGUGGGUGUGAAUGACACCUGUGAUG
Non-coding RNA from Trichonephila inaurata madagascariensis, 73 nucleotides. Lineage: Eukaryota; Metazoa; Arthropoda; Arachnida; Araneae; Nephilidae. The record is from the annotation of a GenBank genome assembly.